AGAAAGAACAACCACGGUGGCGGUGUCAGCUCUGGAAAUCUGGAGCAGCCCCCACAGGAACUCUGGAGCUCUCCGCCUGCAGGGCCUGGAGGCUCCGGGCGGGG
Molecule: microRNA precursor, 104 nt
Filed under: Canis lupus familiaris (dog)
Lineage: Eukaryota; Metazoa; Chordata; Mammalia; Carnivora; Canidae
Also listed under: 1 other name
Description: mir-8834 microRNA precursor family
Rfam family: mir-8834 microRNA precursor family
Source: Rfam by way of RNAcentral